Molecule: long non-coding RNA, 1662 nt
Filed under: Cicer arietinum (chickpea)
Lineage: Eukaryota; Viridiplantae; Streptophyta; Magnoliopsida; Fabales; Fabaceae
Description: long non-coding RNA (CARI_LNC000960)
Source: RNAcentral
CCGACAGAUAAAUUAAUUUAGUGAAGCGUGCGUGAUGAUGAGACGCUUAAAUGCAAUUGGUGUUGGGUGCAAUGUGAACAAUAUAUGGUAGGUAUAUACCACAACCAUAUGUGUGGGUUUUUGCAUUAGUUACAACGUACUAGUACUUGCAUUGCAUCCCAAUCCCAUAAUGCAUGGUCCAGCUCUGAGACCAAACACCAAACUCUUUACUGUUGUUUUCCUCCCCCAAUCCCUGUCCUUAGCCAUGCAUGUGACCUCACCUGAUGCAAAUGCCCCCCACACACCUUCAUUUGUAAUUUUCUUCCUUCGUAAAUUAAGAUAUGAUACACGCCUAAUUGCACAUACUAAAUCAGAUUCUUGUUAAAGGUUAAAGUCUCUCUACAUACGUUUUUUGUGCGCACCAAACACUCGACUAAAUGAUUAAGAGAUUGAACCCUUACAAACUAUUAUAAUAGAAAAAUUAUGUUAGGAUAAAGAGAAUCGAACCAAAAAUUUAAUUUAUUAUAUAUUAAAUGCGAGACUUCCGUAAAUUCUUGCUAAAUUUAAUUUACAUCAUAGACUAGUCAUUUUAGAUAUUAACGCGACUCACUAUGCUGUAUGUUCAAGAAUGCAAAAAUAAAAAUUAGUAGGAGUUUCCCUUGUUAAUUUUAGUACUCCAUUCGCCCACUAUUAUGUUAUUAUAAACAAAAAUAAGUAUUUUUAUGGUUAUUAAAAAAAUUAGUUAAGUAUAAUUAAUAUUUUAAAUUUUAUAUAAAAUAUAAUUUAAAUUUACUAAAUUAUCUAUUUAAUAUUAAAUAUUCAACUAUUGAUAUUAAAUAUUUUUUAUCAAAGUAAAAAUAUGUUGAACAUUAACAUUAAAUGAGUUUUAAAAGCAGCUAACUUUUAGUGAACCAAAUUUGAAAACAUCUUUAGUAUAAAGUAUUCAGCUUUGCUUUGGGAUGGUGUUUGUAAUGUCUAGCGGUUUGGCCAAAAUUUUAUUGUUUUUAGAUGGCAAGGGAAAAAAAAAAGGCAAUAGUAAAAAGAAGUGUCGGAAAACACAAGUCGUUAAUUAAGGGUGUUAUUUAUGUAUGUACGGGCUAAGAUUAUAUUUUUUCAUUAAAAAGUCACGUGCGACCGCUGCAAUCAAGUUUUUAAGGAACGUGCAAUUGUGCAUCUCGUCGUUUCCUAUUUUUUGUUGUGGUAGAAAAUGAAUUGAUACAAAUACAUGAAACUGAAAUCGUACUGCUCUUAAGUGUUAAUUUGACCGUUGAGGUAUUUGAAGGUGAUUUAUUUCAUGUUGCAACUUUUGCUAAAUAGGAUCCCAACUAGGGAUAGUAUAUUUCCUUUGUAUGUGCAAAUUUGAGAAUGUACACGAUCAUUGAUGGCUACUACACGAACAAAAUCAAGCGAAAAUACCUUAAACAAAUUGCUGCUGGCGGUGGAUGAGCAACAUGGCCGGCGAGAACCUUCAUAAUAGGACCUCUUUGUAGUGACUGUAUUGCUACAUUAUUUUGUAACAAUAAUACUAAUUCUUUCUCUAUUAAUAAUGGCUUUAUUGCCGUUAUUUCUUGCGAUUCCAAUAGCAGAAUUAUUGUUGUCAGUACUAACAUUUUCGUCUAGCAACCCAUUAUUAUAGUCAAAAGAAGAUUUAAUAUUAUGGACUAAGGUGACAUUCAAGCUGUA